AUCCUUCUGUGGUUCAGAAUUGUAAUGAAUGGAUUUUCACAGUAUCGUGUAAGAUGCUCCCUUAAACCUUGUUAUGACAUUGGUACAUUACUGGCAUGGCA
This is a small nucleolar RNA of Sciurus vulgaris (Eurasian red squirrel), 101 nucleotides long. The record is from Ensembl. Lineage: Eukaryota; Metazoa; Chordata; Mammalia; Rodentia; Sciuridae.